This 359-nucleotide transfer-messenger RNA is filed under the name chicken gut metagenome. It matches the Rfam family "transfer-messenger RNA". From Rfam's summary of the family: Bacterial tmRNA, also known as 10Sa RNA or SsrA, is named for its dual tRNA and mRNA-like properties. Its role is to liberate the mRNA from a stalled ribosome. To accomplish this part of the tmRNA is used as a reading frame that ends in a translation stop signal. The record is from RNAcentral.
GGGGGCGUAUUUUGGUUUCGACGGGGAUAACGGAGUUUCUAAAUAGCGAGUAGAGUUUUCGUGAAGUCUCUUAAAAAUUCACGGAAAAAAAGUAAACGACGAAAAUUAUCAAUUACAAGCUGCUUAAUUAAACGCAGCUUCAUUCUGUCUAUGAGUCCUACGGUGUAGAUAAGAGUGUCAAAUUUUAGUAGGGAAACGAGUCUUAGAAAGCUUUGACUAAGGAACGGAAUUUAUGAAGCUACUUUAAAUAAAUUUUGUUUAUGGAAGUUAUUUAAAGGAAAUUAAAACAUAAACUGCACUCGGAGAAGUUUAGGGAUGACUGUCUUCGGACAGGGGUUCAACUCCCCUCGCCUCCACCA